CGGAAGCAACAAAUGGGAGGAAAAAAAAAAAAAAAAAAACAGGCCAGGCUUGUGAAAUCCCAAACCGGACUGUCUUCACAGCCUUAAAAGGAAGACACUUACCACACCAUUUGAUAGAUACAAGACUGAGCCUUAGAGAAGCCUGCGAGGGUCCACAGUGUUACUACAAGCUCACCAGCCCUGCCCAUGUCUGGAAGGCGAAUUCUUUACCAGUGAACCACCUGGGAAGCCCCGAGGAGAGGAGAUGGCCAUGAGCACCAGAAGCCCACCAAAGAGCAAGUUGAAUGAAGAACACACAUCCUGAUUUUCUGCAGC
Bos taurus (domestic cattle) is the source of this 315-nucleotide long non-coding RNA. The record is from Ensembl. NCBI's taxonomy places the organism in Eukaryota, Metazoa, Chordata, Mammalia, Artiodactyla, Bovidae.